CUCCAAUAGCGUAUAUUAAAGUUGUUGCAGUUAAAAAGCUCGUAGUUGAAUUUCUAGUUCUCCGGGACUAUCCGAUAACUGUUUGUUUGUCAUUAGUUUGGCUUGCAGGCAUUAUCAUUACUUUGAAAAAAUUAGAGUGUUUCAAGCAGACUUUGUUUGAAUAUCUUAGCAUGGAAUAAUGGAAUAGGACUUUGAUCCAA
RNAcentral lists this ribosomal RNA (200 nucleotides) under uncultured eukaryote. RNAcentral's name for it is "partial 18S ribosomal RNA". It matches the Rfam family "Eukaryotic small subunit ribosomal RNA", at positions 589 to 838 of the family's 1831-position model. The record is from RNAcentral.